AUACGGAGAGGGCAAGCGUUGUUCGGAUUUAUUGGGCGUAAAGCGCGCGUAGGCGGUAUGGUAAGUCGGAUGUUAAAGACCCACGGCUCACCCGGGGGAAUGCGUUCGAUACUGCCGUACUGGAGUGUGGGAGAGGGAAGUGGAAUUCCUGGUGUAGCGGUGAAAUGCGUAGAUAUCAGGAGGAACACCUGUGGCGAAGGCGGCUUCCUGGCCCAUAACUGACGCUGAGGCGCGAAAGCGUGGGGAGC
This 248-nucleotide ribosomal RNA is filed under the name uncultured bacterium. Its description in RNAcentral is "partial 16S ribosomal RNA". It matches the Rfam family "Bacterial small subunit ribosomal RNA", at positions 523 to 769 of the family's 1533-position model. The record is from RNAcentral.